GACAUUUGGUAGAGGCUGUGAGGCCACCUGGUCCCAGCAGACCCCAGAGAACAGCCACAGUCACUGGUACAGGAACAAGGUCAUUAAGGGUGAAACCUGGUGCCAGAUGUGU
Molecule: ribosomal RNA, 112 nt
Filed under: Panthera pardus (leopard)
Lineage: Eukaryota; Metazoa; Chordata; Mammalia; Carnivora; Felidae
Source: RNAcentral